RNAcentral lists this ribosomal RNA (253 nucleotides) under uncultured bacterium. Its description in RNAcentral is "partial 16S ribosomal RNA". It matches the Rfam family "Bacterial small subunit ribosomal RNA", at positions 524 to 776 of the family's 1533-position model. The record is from RNAcentral.
UACGGAGGGUGCAAGCGUUAUCCGGAUUCACUGGGUUUAAAGGGUGCGUAGGUGGGCAGGUAAGUCCGUGGUGAAAUCUCUGAGCUUAACUCAGGAACUGCCGUGGAUACUAUUUGUCUUGAAUAUUGUGGAGGUGAGCGGAAUAUGUCAUGUAGCGGUGAAAUGCUUAGAUAUGACAUAGAACACCAAUUGCGAAGGCAGCUCACUACACAAUUAUUGACGCUGAGGCACGAAAGCGUGGGGAUCAAACAGG